UGAGGAAUCUUCCACAAUGGACGAAAGUCUGAUGGAGCAACUCCGCGUGCAGGAUGAAGGCCCUCGGGUCGUAAACUGCUUUUAUGAGUGAAGAAUAUGACGGUAACUCAUGAAUAAGGGUCGGCUAACUACGUGCCAGCAGCCGCGGUCAUACGUAGGACCCAAGCGUUAUCCGGAGUGACUGGGCGUAAAGAGUUGCGUAGGUGGUCAGUAAAGUGAAUAGUGAAAUCUGGUGGCUCAACCAUACAGGCUAUUAUUCAAACUCACUGACUCGAGAAUGGUAGAGGUAACUGGAAUUUCUUGUGUAGGAGUGAAAUCCGUAGAUAUAAGAAGGAACACCAAUGGCGUAGGCAGGUUACUGGACCAUUUCUGACACUGAGGCACGAAAGCGUGGGGAGCG
RNAcentral lists this ribosomal RNA (400 nucleotides) under uncultured bacterium. Its description in RNAcentral is "bacterial SSU rRNA". It matches the Rfam family "Bacterial small subunit ribosomal RNA", at positions 355 to 770 of the family's 1533-position model. The record is from RNAcentral.